RNAcentral lists this ribosomal RNA (633 nucleotides) under Hedyselmis opis. RNAcentral describes it as "partial 16S ribosomal RNA". It matches the Rfam family "Archaeal large subunit ribosomal RNA", at positions 1909 to 2808 of the family's 2987-position model. Lineage: Eukaryota; Metazoa; Arthropoda; Insecta; Coleoptera; Elmidae. The record is from RNAcentral.
CGUUUUCCGUUUAAAAUGGAAGAUUUAACCUGCCCACUGAAAAUUUAAAGGGCCGCGGUAUCUUGACCGUGCAAAGGUAGCAUAAUAAUUAGUUUUUUGAUUGAAAGCUGGAAUGAAUGGUUGGACGAGAAAAUUACUGUCUCUGGUUAAUUUUAUAUAAAAUUUUAUUUUUAAGUUAAAAAGCUUAAAUAAUUUUAAAAGACGAGAAGACCCUAUAGAGUUUAAUAUUUUUAAAGGAGUAUAAUGAUUUUAAGUAUUAAGGUUGNGCUUUUUUUUGAUUAUUUUAUUGGGGUGAUAGGAAGAUUUAAUUAACUCUUUUUAUAUUUGGAACAUUAGUAGUUGAUUUGUUGAUCCAUUUUUUAUGAUUACAAGAAUAAAUUACCUUAGGGAUAACAGCGUAAUCUUUUUAAAGAGUUCUUAUCGAAAUAAGGGGUUGCGACCUCGAUGUUGGAUUAAAGUUAAUUUUUGGUGUAGGAGCUGAGAUAUUGAGUCUGUUCGACUUUUAAAACUUUACAUGAUCUGAGUUUAGACCGGCGUGAGCCAGGUUGGUUUCUAUCUUUAUAAAUUUAAAGUAUUUUAGUACGAAAGGACCAAGUAUUUGAUAAAUUUAUUUUUNAAUUGGAUAAAGUUAAU